UACGGAAGGCAGCAGUGGGGAAUAUUGCACAAUGGGCGCAAGCCUGAUGCAGCCAUGCCGCGUGUAUGAAGAAGGCCUUCGGGUUGUAAAGUACUUUCAGUCGUGAGGAAGGUGUUAAGGUUAAUAACCUUAGCAAUUGACGUUAGCGACAGAAGAAGCACCGGCUAACUCCGUGCCAGCAGCCGCGGUAAUACGGAGGGUGCGAGCGUUAAUCGGAAUUACUGGGCGUAAAGGGCACGCAGGCGGUUAAUUAAGUUGGAUGUGAAAUCCCCGGGCUUAGCCUGGGAAUGGCAUUCAAGACUGGUUAGCUAGAGUCUUGUAGAGGGGGUAGAAUUCCAUGUGUAGCGGUGAAAUGCGUAGAGAUGUGGAGGAAUACCGGUGGCGAAGGCGGCCCCUGGGACAAAGGACUGACGCUCAUGUGCGAAAGCGUGGGGAGCAAACAGGGAUUAGAUACC
RNAcentral lists this ribosomal RNA (455 nucleotides) under uncultured bacterium. Its description in RNAcentral is "bacterial SSU rRNA". It matches the Rfam family "Bacterial small subunit ribosomal RNA", at positions 340 to 786 of the family's 1533-position model. The record is from RNAcentral.